Molecule: ribosomal RNA, 274 nt
Filed under: uncultured bacterium
Lineage: Bacteria
Description: partial 16S ribosomal RNA
Rfam family: Bacterial small subunit ribosomal RNA
Source: RNAcentral
AUACGGAGGGUGCAAGCGUUAAUCGGAAUUACUGGGCGUAAAGAGCACGUAGGCGGUCGAAAAAGUCUGGUGUGAAAUCUCCCGGCUUAACUGGGAGGGGUCGGCGGAUACUAGGCGUCUUGAGUGGGGUAGGGGGUACCGGAAUUCCUGGUGUAGCGGUGAAAUGCGUAGAUAUCAGGAGGAACGCCAGCGGCGAAAGCGGGUACCUGGGCCUUUACUGACGCUGAGACGCGAAAGCUAGGGGAGCAAACAGGAUUAGAAACCCUAGUAGUCC